AUACGUAGGGGGCGAGCGUUGUCCGGAAUGAUUGGGCGUAAAGGGCGCGUAGGCGGCCCGGUAAGUCUGGAGUGAAAGUCCUGUUUUUAAGAUGGGAAUUGCUUUGGAUACUGUCGGGCUUGAGUGCAGGAGAGGUAAGUGGAAUUCCCAGUGUAGCGGUGAAAUGCGUAGAGAUUGGGAGGAACACCAGUGGCGAAGGCGACUUACUGGACUGUAACUGACGCUGAGGCGCGAAAGGGUGGGGAGCAAACAGGAUUAGAUACCCUGUUAGUCCACGCAGUAAACGAUGAUGGCUAACCGCUGGGCUUAUCAGUUCAGUGGCCAAGCGAAAGCGAUAAGCCAUCCACCGGGGGAGUACGACCGCAAGGUGGAAACUCAAAUGAAUUGACGGGG
This 393-nucleotide ribosomal RNA is filed under the name uncultured bacterium. RNAcentral describes it as "partial 16S ribosomal RNA". It matches the Rfam family "Bacterial small subunit ribosomal RNA", at positions 523 to 918 of the family's 1533-position model. The record is from RNAcentral.